RNAcentral lists this ribosomal RNA (301 nucleotides) under uncultured bacterium. RNAcentral's name for it is "partial 16S ribosomal RNA". It matches the Rfam family "Bacterial small subunit ribosomal RNA", at positions 509 to 807 of the family's 1533-position model. The record is from RNAcentral.
CAGCCGCCGCGGUAAUACGGAGGGGGCUAGCGUUGUUCGGAAUUACUGGGCGUAAAGCGCACGAAGGCGGCUUGGUAAGUUAGAGGUGAAAGCCUGGAGCUCAACUCCAGAAUUGCCUUUAAGACUGCCGAGCUAGCAGGUGAGAGAGGUAAGUGGAAUUCCGAGUGUAGAGGUGAAAUUCGUAGAUAUUCGGAAGAACACCAGUGGCGAAGGCGGCUUACUGGCUCAUACUGGACGCUGAGGUGCGAAAGCGUGGGGAGCAAACAGGAUUAGAUACCCGCGUAGUCCCUGUCUCUUAUAC